This 460-nucleotide ribosomal RNA is filed under the name uncultured bacterium. RNAcentral describes it as "partial 16S ribosomal RNA". It matches the Rfam family "Bacterial small subunit ribosomal RNA", at positions 338 to 795 of the family's 1533-position model. The record is from RNAcentral.
CCUACGGGCGGCAGCAGUGAGGAAUAUUGGUCAAUGGGCGGAAGCCUGAACCAGCCAAGUAGCGUGCAGGAUGACGGCCCUACGGGUUGUAAACUGCUUUUAUACGGGAAUAACGCGCCUUACGUGUAGAGCUUUGCAUGUACCGUAUGAAUAAGGACCGGCUAAUUCCGUGCCAGCGGCCGCGGUAAUACGGAAGGUCCGGGGGUUAUCCGGAUUUAUUGGGUUGAAAGGGAGCGUCGGCCGCAUGUCAAGCGUGCUGUGAAAUGUCCGGGCUCAACCCGGGCCUUGCAGCGCGAACUGGCGUGCUUGAGUCCGCGGAAGGCAGGCGGAAUUCGUCGUGUAGCGGUGAAAUGCUUAGAUAUGACGAAGAACCCCGAUUGCGAAGGCAGCUUGCUGCAGCGGAACUGACGCUGAUGCUCGAAAGCGCGGGUAUCGAACAGGAUUAGAUACCCCUGUAGUC